Molecule: ribosomal RNA, 497 nt
Filed under: uncultured bacterium
Lineage: Bacteria
Description: partial 16S ribosomal RNA
Rfam family: Bacterial small subunit ribosomal RNA
Source: RNAcentral
GAUGAACGCUGGCGGCGUGCCUAAUACAUGCAAGUCGAGCGAACAGACGAGGAGCUUGCUCCUCUGACGUUAGCGGCGGACGGGUGAGUAACACGUGGAUAACCUACCUAUAAGACUGGGAUAACUUCGGGAAACCGGAGCUAAUACCGGAUAAUAUAUUGAACCGCAUGGUUCAAUAGUGAAAGACGGUUUUGCUGUCACUUAUAGAUGGAUCCGCGCCGCAUUAGCUAGUUGGUAAGGUAACGGCUUACCAAGGCAACGAUGCGUAGCCGACCUGAGGGGGUGAUCGGCCACACUGGAACUGAGACACGGUCCAGACUCCUACGGGAGGCAGCAGUAGGGAAUCUUCCGCAAAGGGCGAAAGCCUGACGGAGCAACGCCGCGUGAGUGAUGAAGGUCUUCGGAUCGUAAAACUCUGUUAUUAGGGAAGAACAAAUGUGUAAGUAACUAUGCACGUCUUGACGGUACCUAAUCAGAAAGCCACGGCUAACUACGUG